This is a long non-coding RNA of Cyprinus carpio (common carp), 560 nucleotides long. RefSeq lists it as uncharacterized. Lineage: Eukaryota; Metazoa; Chordata; Actinopteri; Cypriniformes; Cyprinidae. The transcript is spliced from 2 exons. The record is from RefSeq and is a predicted model, not a curated record.
UACACCCUUGAGGAGAAUGAUGUCACUUCCUGCAACAAAACAGGUCCUUCUAUUUUCUCAUAUCUUAGAUCAGGAAGCCAAUGUUUAAACAAAAAAAAAAAAAAUAGUAAACAAUCAGUACAAAGUAUGUUAUAUGGCCUUUGAUGCGGGGUCAGAUAGAUGUGAGCUUACUGGACAGGAAGACCCUGUUGUACUCUACAUGGUGAUUGAAAACAGCACCCUCCAGCAUGCCUUUAAAGAGGGUAUAUCAAAAAAACCACAGAAAAAGUCAGACUCAUUGAAUGAGGUGUCGUACACUCAUUCUGUAUGUUUGCAUUAGUGUGUUACUGAUCUAGUGAUGAAGUUCAAGCAGAAGUCUUGUUUUCUGGAGUUUGUUGUGCGCUUGCUCCAGAAGGCCCUGCUAGAAGAUGAGAUGGAUCUUGUGUUGCAGUAGGAGCAGAACAUCUUGAACUGGCUUAGCAGACGUGAUGAGGCUUUGUUCGGGCUAAAGAAGAACUCUAGGUCUACCAGGGGAGGAGUUUAAAGACUUCACAACCUCUGUAAUUGAGUACAAUACCAAA